Molecule: ribosomal RNA, 274 nt
Filed under: uncultured bacterium
Lineage: Bacteria
Description: partial 16S ribosomal RNA
Rfam family: Bacterial small subunit ribosomal RNA
Source: RNAcentral
AUACGGAGGGUGCGAGCGUUAAUCGGAAUUACUGGGCGUAAAGCGUACGUAGGCGGUUGGUUAAGUUAGAUGUGAAAGCCCCGGGCUUAACCUGGGAACUGCAUUUAAAACUGGCGAACUAGAGUUGAGUAGAGGGGAGUGGAAUUUCAGGUGUAGCGGUGGAAUGCGUAGAGAUCUGAAGGAACACCAGUGGCGAAGGCGACUCCCUGGACUCGAACUGACGCUGAGGUACGAAAGCGUGGGUAGCAAACGGGAUUAGAAACCCGAGUAGUCC